CCGAGAUCCAGGAGGAAGCUCAGAGGGGACAGGGCCUUCUCUAUUGUGGCUCCAAAAUUAUGGAAUAAUUUGCCCAUGCAUGUUAGAGAGGCCCCUUCACUGUCCACUUUUAAAUCACAUCUUAAAACCCACUUUUAUUCCUUGGCUUUUAACCUCAGUGAGACUUAGUUUCUUUUUUAAUGCAGUAGUUAUUUAAUUAAUGAUUUCACUCUUCUUUUAUUUGUUUUUUAUUUAUAUCUCAUGUAAUUUUAUUUUACAGUUCCAAUGUACAGCACUUUGUGUCAGCUGUGGUUGUUUUAAAGUGCUUUAUAAAUAAAGUUGAUGAUGAUGAUGAUGAAUGUAGCUAACAGAAGAAGAAAAAUUAGCUGUGGCACAGUCAAAAGUAAUUCGAAAUUAUGCGCUGCUAUUAGUCUGAAGUGGUCAGUACCUGUAUUAACGUCAUGAAACCUGUGUGCGAAGUUAAACUGUAAUCGCAGAAUAAUGUUUGUGACUAUGUCAGUCUUCCAUGUGACUUUAUCUAUUUUUCUUUUUUUUUUUUUACUGUGCUGGAUUACUUUUAUUGCUUUGUGUCAAAACAAAACAAUAACUGUGCAGUAGUAACUAUGAGGUCUGUUAAUGUUUUUCUUUAAUGUGCAGGAAGGAGAGGAAACACAAGCAGCACUUUAGGAUACUGAGAAACUGAGUUCAUUGAGCAAAGUAGUGAUUUUAAAACUAGAAACUUGAUUUUGGUAGAAACUGCUUUUUCAAACUGGUGUCCAUUUACUGCAGCUUUCUGAUAGUUAAGUCACUGCAUGAUGCUCAUUCAUACAGGCAGACUGAGAGUUAUAUCUACUCCCAUAGAAAAAGAAGCACUCACAUUACCUACACGUUACUUAAUGUAACUGCACAUUACCGUUUUUUUAACACAUGCUAGAAUGUAUGUGUACGCAACAGCAAUAAGCUAGCUAACGUAUUUAGUGCACUUAUGAAAAAAUAUCCACACUCAUGCUUUAAAUGCGUCAUCGCUUUGCCUUGUACGAAGACAGCUUUAGCUGCCACGCUUGCCUCAUGUAUGCAUAUCGCUUUGAAAUAGAAAUAACAUGCUUUGCUUUGUGUACGCGAUGUAUAUGAUAAUAUCUACUUGUGUUUGUAAUUUGAUUCAUUUUGUACUUUUAAAAGGUUCUUUUAUAUUUGAUCACAUUUACUGUUCAUGAAAUGAUCUGGACAAGGUUUUGUGUUAAAGUUUGAGGAUGUUUAGAGAGCAGAUAGUUAUCACUGACAGACUUGAGUUAGUUUGCUGAUUCAUUAUAACCUCGUCACCUUGUCACUGGACGACCUCCUUUCAUUAGUACAAAUCACCUCAUCUCUGAGAGGAUUUCCACAAAAGAGCUGUGGAUGGUAGUCGUGUCAUUAAGUGUGCUGUUGAUAUGACAAAAAUAAAGCCAUUUGCCAUGAUCAAA
Long non-coding RNA from Astatotilapia calliptera (eastern happy), 1439 nucleotides. The record is from Ensembl. Lineage: Eukaryota; Metazoa; Chordata; Actinopteri; Cichliformes; Cichlidae.